UUCCGUAGGUGAACCUGCGGAGGGAUCAUUACUGAGUUUACGCUCUACAACCCUUUGUGAACAUACCUAUAACUGUUGCUUCGGCGGGUAGGGUCUCCGUGACCCUCCCGGCCUCCCGCCCCCGGGCGGGUCGGCGCCCGCCGGAGGAUAACCAAACUCUGAUUUAACGACGUUUCUUCUGAGUGGUACAAGCAAAUAAUCAAAACUUUUAACAACGGAUCUCUUGGUUCUGGCAUCGAUGAAGAACGCAGCGAAAUGCGAUAAGUAAUGUGAAUUGCAGAAUUCAGUGAAUCAUCGAAUCUUUGAACGCACAUUGCGCCCGCCAGCAUUCUGGCGGGCAUGCCUGUUCGAGCGUCAUUUCAACCCUCAAGCUCUGCUUGGUGUUGGGGCCCUACAGCUGAUGUAGGCCCUCAAAGGUAGUGGCGGACCCUCCCGGAGCCUCCUUUGCGUAGUAACUUUACGUCUCGCACUGGGAUCCGGAGGGACUCUUGCCGUAAAACCCCCCAAUUUUCCAAAGGUUGACCUCGGAUCAGGUAGGAAUACCCGCUGAACUUAAGCAUAUCAAUAAGCGGAGGAA
This 577-nucleotide ribosomal RNA is filed under the name Colletotrichum gloeosporioides. RNAcentral describes it as "eukaryotic LSU rRNA". The stretch from base 204 to 357 matches the Rfam family "5.8S ribosomal RNA". Lineage: Eukaryota; Fungi; Ascomycota; Sordariomycetes; Glomerellales; Glomerellaceae. The record is from RNAcentral.